RNAcentral lists this ribosomal RNA (305 nucleotides) under uncultured bacterium. RNAcentral describes it as "bacterial SSU rRNA". It matches the Rfam family "Bacterial small subunit ribosomal RNA", at positions 334 to 654 of the family's 1533-position model. The record is from RNAcentral.
AACACCUACGGGGCGCAGCAGUGGGGAAUAUUGCACAAUGGGCGCAAGCCUGAUGCAGCAACGCCGCGUGAGCGAAGAAGGUCUUCGGAUCGUAAAGCUCUGUCCUUGAGGAAGAAGGAAGUGACGGUACUCAAGGAGGAAGCCCCGGCUAACUACGUGCCAGCAGCCGCGGUAAUACGUAGGGGGCACGCGUUAUCCGGAAUUAUUGGGCGAAAAGAGUACGUAGGUGGUUUUGUAAGCGCGGGGUGAAAGGCAGUGGCUUAACCAUGGUAAGCUUUGAGAACUGCACGACUUGAGUGCAGGAG